RNAcentral lists this ribosomal RNA (465 nucleotides) under Vreelandella stevensii. Its description in RNAcentral is "partial 16S ribosomal RNA". It matches the Rfam family "Bacterial small subunit ribosomal RNA", at positions 338 to 795 of the family's 1533-position model. The record is from RNAcentral. Lineage: Bacteria; Pseudomonadati; Pseudomonadota; Gammaproteobacteria; Oceanospirillales; Halomonadaceae.
CCUACGGGAGGCAGCAGUGGGGAAUAUUGGACAAUGGGGGCAACCCUGAUCCAGCCAUGCCGCGUGUGUGAAGAAGGUCCUCGGGUUGUAAAGCACUUUCAGUGAGGAAGAACGCCUGGUGGUUAAUACCCAUCAGGAAAGACAUCACUCACAGAAGAAGCACCGGCUAACUCCGUGCCAGCAGCCGCGGUAAUACGGAGGGUGCGAGCGUUAAUCGGAAUUACUGGGCGUAAAGCGCGCGUAGGUGGCUUGAUAAGCCGGUUGUGAAAGCCCCGGGCUCAACCUGGGAACGGCAUCCGGAACUGUCAAGCUAGAGUGCAGGAGAGGAAGGUAGAAUUCCCGGUGUAGCGGUGAAAUGCGUAGAGAUCGGGAGGAAUACCAGUGGCGAAGGCGGCCUUCUGGACUGACACUGACACUGAGGUGCGAAAGCGUGGGUAGCAAACAGGAUUAGAUACCCUGGUAGUC